AUUGAACGCUGGCGGCAUGCUUUACACAUGCAAGUCGAACGGCAGCGCGGGCUUCGGCCUGGCGGCGAGUGGCGAACGGGUGAGUAAUGCAUCGGAACGUGCCCAGUAGUGGGGGAUAGCCCGGCGAAAGCCGGAUUAAUACCGCAUACGACCUGAGGGUGAAAGCGGGGGACCGAAAGGCCUCGCGCUAUUGGAGCGGCCGAUGUCGGAUUAGCUAGUUGGUGGGGUAAAGGCUUACCAAGGCGACGAUCCGUAGCUGGUCUGAGAGGACGACCAGCCACACUGGGACUGAGACACGGCCCAGACUCCUACGGGAGGCAGCAGUGGGGAAUUUUGGACAAUGGGGGCAACCCUGAUCAAGCCAUGCCGCGUGAGGGAAGAAGGCCUUCGGGUUGUAAACCGCUUUUGUUCGGGAAGAAAUCCUCUGGGCUAAUACCCCGGGGGGAUGACGGUACCGGAAGAAUAAGCACCGGCUAACUACGUG
Molecule: ribosomal RNA, 484 nt
Filed under: uncultured bacterium
Lineage: Bacteria
Description: partial 16S ribosomal RNA
Rfam family: Bacterial small subunit ribosomal RNA
Source: RNAcentral